UUUUUAAAAGCCAAAAUUCCCUAUUCACUGUCAUUUAAAAGAUAUUAAAAACGCUCAAUUUAAUUCGAUUAUUAUUGUCAAAAAGGCAAACUGCAAUUUUUUAGUACAAAAAAUAAAACAUUUUUGAAACAAAUUUAAAAAUUGUUUAUUUUUUAAAAGCCAAAAUUCCCUUUUCCAUUCACUGUCAUUUAAAAGCUAUUAAAAACACUCAAUUUAAAUCGGUUAUUAUGCAACGUAAAAAAGAUGAGUAUCAUAUUUUAAAACAGGUAGAAACUAACCAAAAAAGUGAUAACCCAAACUGAAACCCACAAGAAAAGACGCGCACUGUAUAAAGGUAAUUAAAAUAUAAAACUUACCAGUUGUAGGGUCGUAGGGAAAUGGACAUCGCACUUCUGUAUUCAUUGCACUGAAUAUAGUCUAUAAUACACAUGCAACGUAUUUAUACACAUGCACUCCCUUCCAUGGUUGAAUUAAAAGUCGAAAGGUCUUCUACCCACAAGCACCAACGCCGAUUUGAAUAGACGCGAUGUUGUCGCCAGACAACCGUGCAGGUAGAAGUCUCAAGGUCAACACGCUUUCACACGGGAACGCAACCGUUUCGGACGUUGGACGAACGUAUGUUGCCGCAAAAGAUCAAGGCCAACUUGCUUUCAUUUUUUACAAUCUCCGUAUGGGAUGUGGAAUUUCAAAACGCGCCGAGUCUAAAUGUCAAGUUGUUUUGCUUGUUGAGAAUAAUAAUUAAUUGCCCCCUUUAUAUUUGCUCCGUGGGAUUAACGUAAUGGGAAAAAUUUGUUGCAACGCAUGUGGAGGUGUCUUCGUUUGUUAACUUUUAGAAAGUAUUCUCGCACCGUAUAAAUACAUCUCAUUUUUCUCUGUUUUGUCAGUAGUUGUUUUUGGUAUUAUUCGUGCAACGUGGAAGCUAACUUAGUGGUUUGGUGUUCGUACAAAAAAGCAUUCCUAAAGAUCAUCUUAGUACUCUCAACCCGUAACCGCAAAUAGAAUAGCAGCAAUCUUAAGCAUGGACUUAAGUCAACUGAAUCAAACCUGUCUUGCAGAAGGUGAUUUUGAGCAGCCGAUUGUCAAACUGCAUGAAUUGCCGAUAGGCGUUCCGUUUAAAAUUACUAGAGCCAAAAUUGUUAAUACAAAAUUUGGCAAUUCCGUGUUGCUGCAAUUAGAAAAUUCCGUAGUAUUUCUUCCUACUCGCGUGACAGAAGCUUUCCGUCCGAGACUAGAACACUUUGCGUCGGGGCAGUACAAACUGGUCUACGAGGGAUCCAAAGAUAUUGGAAAGCCCAACUCUUUAAAGAAAUUCAAAAUAAUUCAAAAUUAAUCAACAUAUUAUACAGGAUUAUGGUCAAACAACUUACAUUAGAAAGCCUUUGUAUUAUAACAAUUUGCGAAAAUAUUAGGUGUAGUGCUGAUUUUUUGCGUGAGUCACCUUUGCCUUGGAAACUAACGAUACUAAUAUUUAAAUAUUAUUCGAAAUAUAGAUGGAGG
Long non-coding RNA from Cylas formicarius (sweet potato weevil), 1497 nucleotides. RefSeq lists it as uncharacterized. The record is from RefSeq and is a predicted model, not a curated record. The transcript has 4 exons. NCBI's taxonomy places the organism in Eukaryota, Metazoa, Arthropoda, Insecta, Coleoptera, Brentidae.